CGCCCUUGAGUUUGAUCAUGGCUCAGGACGAACGCUGGCGGCGUGCUUAAUACCUGCAAGUCUUAGGGGUUAGUUCCCUUCGGGGAUCUGAUCACUGGCGCACGGGUGAGUAACACGUAAGUUAUCUGCCCUUGGGUCUGGCAUAACUCCGGGAAACCGGGGCUAAUUCCAGAUGAUAUCGUAAGAUCAAAGCCUUCGGGCGCCCAGGGAUGAGCUUGCGUCUGAUUAGCUUGUUGGCGGGGUAAUGGCCCACCAAGGCGACGAUCAGUAGCCGGUCUGAGAGGAUGAUCGGCCACAUUGGGACUGAGACACGGCCCAGACUCCUACGGGAGGCAGCAGUAAGGAAUAUUGCGCAAUGGACGAAAGUCUGACGCAGCAACGCCGCGUGCAGGAUUUAUGCCCUUCGGGUUGUAAACUGCUGUAGCAGGGGAAUAACAACUCGUCACGGACGGGUUUGAAGGUACCCUGAAAGUAAGCGCCGGCUAACUACGUGCCAGCAGCCGCGGUAA
This 509-nucleotide ribosomal RNA is filed under the name uncultured Chlorobiota bacterium. RNAcentral's name for it is "bacterial SSU rRNA". It matches the Rfam family "Bacterial small subunit ribosomal RNA", at positions 1 to 523 of the family's 1533-position model. Lineage: Bacteria; Pseudomonadati; Chlorobiota. The record is from RNAcentral.